RNAcentral lists this ribosomal RNA (253 nucleotides) under uncultured bacterium. Its description in RNAcentral is "partial 16S ribosomal RNA". It matches the Rfam family "Bacterial small subunit ribosomal RNA", at positions 524 to 776 of the family's 1533-position model. The record is from RNAcentral.
UACGUAGGGGGCAAGCGUUGUCCGGAAUCAUUGGGCGUAAAGAGCGUGUAGGCGGCCCGAUAAGUCCGCUGUGAAAGUCGAGGGCUCAACCCUCGAAUGCCGGCGGAUACUGUCGGGCUGGAGUCCGGAAGAGGCGAGUGGAAUUCCUGGUGUAGCGGUGAAAUGCGCAGAUAUCAGGAGGAACACCUACGGCGAAGGCAGCUCGCUGGGACGGUACUGACGCUGAGACGCGAAAGCGUGGGAAGCAAACAGG